UACGUAGGGUGCAAGCGUUAAUCGGAAUUACUGGGCGUAAAGCGUGCGCAGGCGGUUUUGUAAGUCUGUCGUGAAAUCCCCGGGCUUAACCUGGGAAUUGCAUUUGUGACUGCACGGCUAGAGUGUGUCAGAGGGGGGUAGAAUUCCACGUGUAGCAGUGAAAUGCGUAGAUAUGUGGAGGAAUACCGAUGGCGAAGGCAGCCCCCUGGGAUAACACUGACGCUGAGGCACGAAAGCGUGGGGAGCAAACAGG
Molecule: ribosomal RNA, 253 nt
Filed under: uncultured bacterium
Lineage: Bacteria
Description: partial 16S ribosomal RNA
Rfam family: Bacterial small subunit ribosomal RNA
Source: RNAcentral